Molecule: ribosomal RNA, 505 nt
Filed under: uncultured bacterium
Lineage: Bacteria
Description: bacterial SSU rRNA
Rfam family: Bacterial small subunit ribosomal RNA
Source: RNAcentral
UCCUGGCUUAGGAUGAACGCUAGCGGCAGGCUUAACACAUGCAAGUCGAGGGGCAUCGGGAGUAGCAAUACUGCCGGCGACCGGCGCAAGGGUGCGUAACGCGUGAGCAACAUGCCCGUAUCAGGGGGAUAAUCCAUGGAAACGUGGUCUAAUACCCCAUAGUAAUUAUGUAAGGCAUCUUAUAUAAUUUAAAGCUUUGGUGGAUACGGAUUGGCUCGCGUGACAUUAGCUAGAUGGUAAGGUAACGGCUUACCAUGGCUACGAUGUCUAGGGGUUCUGAGAGGAAGGUCCCCCACACUGGAACUGAGACACGGUCCAGACUCCUACGGGAGGCAGCAGUGAGGAAUAUUGGACAAUGGAUGAAAAUCUGAUCCAGCCAUGCCGCGUGCAGGAAGACGGCCCUAUGGGUUGUAAACUGCUUUUGUAUGGGAGCAAUAAGGGCUACGUGUAGUCCGAUGAGAGUACCAUACGAAUAAGCACCGGCUAACUCCGUGCCAGCCGCCGC